RNAcentral lists this ribosomal RNA (285 nucleotides) under uncultured soil bacterium. RNAcentral describes it as "partial 16S ribosomal RNA". It matches the Rfam family "Bacterial small subunit ribosomal RNA", at positions 26 to 323 of the family's 1533-position model. The record is from RNAcentral.
AGAUUGAACGCUGGCGGCAUGCCUAACACAUGCAAGUCGAACGGGAGUAGCAAUACUCUAGUGGCGGACGGGUGAGGAAUACGUAGGAAUUUGCCCUUAAGUGGGGGAUAACCCGGGGAAACCCGGAUUAAUACCGCAUGACCUCGAAAGAGCAAAGUGGGGGAUCGCAAGACCUCACGCUUUUGGAGAAGCCUACGUCGGAUUAGCUAGUUGGUGAGGUAAUGGCUCACCAAGGCGACGAUCCGUAACUGGUCUGAGAGGAUGAUCAGUCACGACCGAACUGAG